AUUCUCACCUGACAACCAUCCUCCAGCACACUGUAUGUGAAUCGGCUGUUGCCCUCGGCUCUGAUUUCAACAUCGUUGGAGCCCUGUAGCAAAAGUGCCUUCUUCAGGUUACCAGUGGAUUCGUCCAUGUAAGCCACGCUGUUCUUGCAGUGGUAGGUGAUUUUCUGAGAGGCAUCGCUAGACAGCAGUCUCAGGAAAUUCAUCUGAAUGGAAGCCAUAUGAGGAGUCUGGCUCUUGUCACCAUAACUGAACUGUAUUAAAGACAAAGAAACACAGAGGGUUGUUAUUUCUGUUUAUAGAAAGAAAACUUAUACAAAGACAGAAAACUGUAGGACUAAUCAUUUUCCAUGUCAUUUGUGUGUGUCAAUGCUUGCUAAUUUGGGAGACACAUUAUGAAACAAAAGAAGUUCAGAACCAUGGAGAGUAAAAUAGGAACAAAGGCUUGGAGAGCACAACUUUUACAAGACAUCUAUUCAAGACCAUGACUGUCUCUGCUAAGCCACACAAGCAAACCCAAACAAUGGCACAAACACAUUCUUGCGUGGGAUGCUGCGUGUGCUGGGAUUAACGCAUGUCUCUCCAGUCUCCAUGUUGCAGUAGACCUUGAUGGCAUCAACGGCGCAGCCAAGUCAGGGUGGCAGAGUUUCAGGUCACGGCAGGAGCGAGCAGGGUUCUUGCGAGAGCCAUCAGGGCUGCGGAUAUCCUCAAUCUGGCUGUUGAUGGAUUUCAGAGUGGCAUCAACUUCAACAUCAUGCUGUCUCAGAUUGCUGGAAGCCUCAUCGGCACGCAUGUAACGCAGGGGAUCUGGGCCCUUCUCAGUCUGACCAAGUCCAGCAAAGGCAGACAUGUCAAUGCCAGGGCCUGGAGGACCAGGGGGACCAGGGGGUCCAGAGUUUCCAGGAGGUCCCUAAAGAGAGAAGCCACAAAAGAAGAAAUAUAAAAUGUCCGGAAGGUCCAGCAGCACCCUGGUCACCAGUAGAACCCUGCAGAACAAGAACAAAAAGUUUGGGUUAAGACAUCAUGGUCCGGGAAGACCAGGGAAACCUCUCUCACCACGCUGACCAGGCAAACCAACAAUACCACGCUGACCAGCAAGACCAGCAGGACCAGAAGGACCAUCAGGACCCUAAAUAUCAAGCAGGAGCAGCCAAGAGGAGAUAAAGGGACCAUCCUCUCCAGGCUCUCCCUUCUCUCCAGGGGAUCCAGCAGGUCCACGGAGGCCAGCAUCUCCAGGUCUUCCUGGGGGACCAGCAUCACCACGAAUACCCUUAGGACCAUCUUUGCCAGCAGGACCAGCUGGACCAGCAGAACCAGGGUUACCCUAGUUAAGAAAAAGUCAGAGAAGAAAACUAAAUAAAUACAUUAAGAAAACUGUGUAAGGAAUAAACAUAAGAAUGACACUUCUUAAUGUUUUAACUGUGCAUAUGCAAUUUCAUUGGGCCGAUCAAUGUACCUGAAGGUGGGUGCUAUCUGCCCCCUUCUGAAUACUUGUGGUCACAGAUGCCUAAGAUUAGUUAGAGGAAUUCUGAGCUUCUGUAAUCCUGGCCAUGAAUAGCUAUGGCAUUUCAUGUCAUAUGAAUAUACUAGAGCAGUGGUUCUCAAACUGUGGUACGCGUACCACUGGUGGUACGUGAAGCAGCAUGAGGUGGUACGCCAGAUAAUCUCGGAAAAGUAAUUACAUGGACCGAAAAAAUAAAUCAUUUAAUAAUUAUAAAUAAAAAAUAAUA
This is a long non-coding RNA of Trichomycterus rosablanca, 1727 nucleotides long. RefSeq lists it as uncharacterized. Lineage: Eukaryota; Metazoa; Chordata; Actinopteri; Siluriformes; Trichomycteridae. The transcript has 7 exons. The record is from RefSeq and is a predicted model, not a curated record.